This 659-nucleotide ribosomal RNA is filed under the name uncultured Actinomycetes bacterium. RNAcentral describes it as "SSU rRNA". It matches the Rfam family "Bacterial small subunit ribosomal RNA", at positions 245 to 915 of the family's 1533-position model. Lineage: Bacteria; Bacillati; Actinomycetota; Actinomycetes. The record is from RNAcentral.
CUAGUUGGUGAGGUAACGGCCCACCAAGGCGACGACGGGUAGCCGGCCUGAGAGGGCGACCGGCCACACUGGGACUGAGACACGGCCCAGACUCCUACGGGAGGCAGCAGUGGGGAAUAUUGCGCAAUGGGCGAAAGCCUGACGCAGCGACGCCGCGUGGGGGAUGAAUGCCUUCGGGUUGUAAACCCCUUUCAGCAGGGACGAAGCGAAAGUGACGGUACCUGCAGAAGAAGCGCCGGCUAACUACGUGCCAGCAGCCGCGGUAACACGUAGGGCGCGAGCGUUGUCCGGAAUUAUUGGGCGUAAAGAGCUCGUAGGUGGUUUGUUACGUCCGCUGUGAAAACCUAGGGCUUAACCCUGGGCUUGCAGUGGAUACGGGCAGACUAGAGGUAGGUAGGGGAGAAUGGAAUUCCUGGUGUAGCGGUGAAAUGCGCAGAUAUCAGGAGGAACACCGGUGGCGAAGGCGGUUCUCUGGGCCUUACCUGACACUGAGGAGCGAAAGCGUGGGGAGCGAACAGGAUUAGAUACCCUGGUAGUCCACGCCGUAAACGUUGGGCGCUAGGUGUGGGGUCCUUCCACGGAUUCCGUGCCGCAGCUAACGCAUUAAGCGCCCCGCCUGGGGAGUACGGCCGCAAGGCUAAAACUCAAAGGAAUUGACG